This is a long non-coding RNA of Talpa occidentalis (Iberian mole), 907 nucleotides long. RefSeq lists it as uncharacterized. The record is from RefSeq and is a predicted model, not a curated record. The transcript has 3 exons. Lineage: Eukaryota; Metazoa; Chordata; Mammalia; Eulipotyphla; Talpidae.
GCCAGGUUCUAAACACAAAUCAACCCAGUUCAUUUUCAGGGAGAACCAGGAUCAUCAAAGAUGUUUUGCUGCAUGCCGAGGUCUCCCGACCACAAGAAAAGGCGCAGGAACCUCUUUCAGACACUGGUGCAAGGCAUCAGGAGACUACUCAGACUUGGCAGGCCAGGAGCCAGCGUUGCCCCAGCGGUACCCUCGAACCUGGAAGAUGAAGAGUCCGAGGAAGAGGAUUUCCCCUACUCGCCUCCCAGCCCAUUGAGCACGAUUCGUUGCAGGCCUAAAACCUGCGCUAACACCGGGCACAAGUUUCAGUGUAUGGAUCUUGUACACAAGUGCAGGGCAAAAGACCUGAAGGCAAUGGAGGAAUUUCCUGAGGUUGAGUGGCCCAUGGUUGUGCCGAGACUCCUCUAGGAGGUGGAGCUCCUUCUCCACCACUAAAGCUGGGCACCACUGCAUCUCACUGGACAGGACAAGAGUCCUGCCAAGUAUCCAAUUCAUCACAAGCAGACUUCACAUGCCGAGACGGGACACCAGGAUCAUCUCUCUCCUAUGAUCAUCCACAAAAUACCCAGCAUUUUGCAGGUCGCCAAGGAGACUCUGAGAUCACUGUAUCCCUGCACGGUGAGAUUGCCACUAGCCAGCAUCCUGCCAGAUGUCCUGUGGCCAUUGAGCUUAUACCACCACUGCUGGGAGAGUCAGGCCCAGUCCCAAAUCUUCCAGGACAAGUGGAUAGUGUUGAGCUUAGCCCACACCUGAAGGGUGAGCCAAGCUCCAGCCGAACCCCAGAAGAGGAUGAUGGCGGAGAUGGGAUGCUCACUUAGCCCCCCGGUGGGAGAAGGUCCAAGGCUGGAAUGUCCCUAGGGUUCGCCAGUGCUGGGUGGUCACAGCAUCUGAGCUGGAGGAGGAAAUA